GCAGGUAUAGCUUAAUGGUAAAGCGUCAUAUUCAAAUUCUGGUAAAUAUACAAAUGAAGAUUCCUGGUUCAAGUCCAGGUACACUGCC
RNAcentral lists this transfer RNA (88 nucleotides) under Bacteriophage sp. Its description in RNAcentral is "tRNA-OTHER". The stretch from base 5 to 82 matches the Rfam family "tRNA", at positions 5 to 66 of the family's 71-position model. Rfam says of the family: Transfer RNA (tRNA) molecules are approximately 80 nucleotides in length. Their secondary structure includes four short double-helical elements and three loops (D, anti-codon, and T loops). Further hydrogen bonds mediate the characteristic L-shaped molecular structure. tRNAs have two regions of fundamental functional importance: the anti-codon, which is responsible for specific mRNA codon recognition, and the 3' end, to which the tRNAs corresponding amino acid is attached (by aminoacyl-tRNA synthetases). tRNAs cope with the degeneracy of the genetic code in two manners: having more than one tRNA (with a specific anti-codon) for a particular amino acid; and 'wobble' base-pairing, i.e. permitting non-standard base-pairing at the 3rd anti-codon position. The record is from RNAcentral. RNAcentral also lists the same sequence under 1 other name.